RNAcentral lists this unclassified non-coding RNA (821 nucleotides) under Schizosaccharomyces pombe (fission yeast). Its description in RNAcentral is "intergenic RNA (predicted)". Lineage: Eukaryota; Fungi; Ascomycota; Schizosaccharomycetes; Schizosaccharomycetales; Schizosaccharomycetaceae. The record is from RNAcentral.
UUCAGUUUAGGUUAAAAAAAAAGUGGAUUAUCCUUAAGAUAAUAUUUGAUGAAAACCCAAAUUUCACGUGGAACUGACGACAUUUUGCAAAGCGAGAAUCUAUUUAGCACGGUAAACAUCAAAUGAAAUUGGUUGAAUAACCUCUUCAUUAUAAUAAUUUAUAUAGCGAUAUUUGCGCCCCUGCUUGCCACUUUUUCUUUUGUGUAUAUUUUUUUAAAUAGUAGUAUAGCGCACAAGUUUCAUCUGUAAUACUAUUAAUAUGCAUACUGAGCAAGAUAUGUUCGCUGGUGGAGGAAUCUUACAAAAGCCGUUAUAAUUUGGCCUAAUUAAAUAAAUCACUGUUGUACUAUUAUAGUGAAAAAUGACAAGCGUCUGCAUGAAUGCGAAUUUAUAUCCUUUCAGUCUAUAGUUGCCUUGUGAUAGAAUUAACUCAUACAGUGUGUCACGUUUAAAGCAACUAAAAAGGCAUAGUGGUAAGAAGGCGAAAACAUACUAGUCAGGUAUUCUUUUCUAGCUACUUUAAAAAAGCUUCCAUUUCGUGGCUGUUGUCGAGUAUGCAAAUAACUGAAAUGUCAAUUGUUGGAACAUGAAUGACAAUCAUGCUGAAUAAUUGUAACCACACAAUUCAUUUUUGUACUAUGCACAUUGACCACUUCUUAUUUUCCUCUUUGGUGUUUGUACAGUUAAAUUUUGUUCGCCAUACAUCUCCUUAAAUGGUAUAGCGAUAAGCACCGACAGCUAGAAAUAUGUCAACUAUUAUAAUGUGAUGUACGCAAAUGUUAGUAGAAUCUUACAUUUACUGUUUUCCUUCUGCUUUUUCU